Microcebus murinus (gray mouse lemur) is the source of this 528-nucleotide non-coding RNA. NCBI's taxonomy places the organism in Eukaryota, Metazoa, Chordata, Mammalia, Primates, Cheirogaleidae. The record is from RefSeq and is a predicted model, not a curated record.
CCCUGCCGCUCAGCAAGAGCAAAUCUAGACACACGUGAACUUGCCUAACGCCUCCUGUAUCGAAAACCUGCUCUUUAAGGUUAUCUGAAGCCUUCACUGGGAAGAUGCAAACAGGCGGGGACUAGAAUCAUCUAGAGCUUUUCUCAUUCACAUAUCUGGCAUCUGGGCCGAGUUGACUCAGAGGCUGACCUCAACUGGGAUUGUCAGCCAAGUGCCAACAGUUAGCUUCUCCAUGUGUCUGGGGCAUCGCAGCUUCAAGGUAGACAAGCUUCUCAAAUGGUGGUUCCAGCUCCCAAAGUAGAUGUUCCCAGCAAACAAAGUAGAAUCUUCAUGGCCUUUUGUGACCUAGCCUGUGAAGUCACACAGCAUGACUUCUGUUCUACUCUACUGAUUGAAGCAGUCAGAAGUCCAUCCAGACUUGAAGGAAAGGGACACAGAGUCUCCCACCUAUGUCAAAGAAUGUUCAGCUAUGUUUUAAAAAUUCCAUGAACAGUUUUAUUGUGAUGUGGGUUACUGAAGACUAUUAAA